GACGAACGCUGGCGGCGUGCUUAACACAUGCAAGUCGAACGGAAAGGCCCUGCUUUUGUGGGGUACUCGAGUGGCGAACGGGUGAGUAACACGUGAGUAACCUGCCCUUGACUUUGGGAUAACUUCAGGAAACUGGGGCUAAUAUCGGAUAGGAGCUCCUGCUGCAUGGUGGGGGUUGGAAAGUUUCGGCGGUUGGGGAUGGACUCGCGGCUUAUCAGCUUGUUGGUGGGGUAGUGGCUUACCAAGGCUUUGACGGGUAGCCGGCCUGAGAGGGUGACCGGCCACAUUGGGACUGAGAUACGGCCCAGACUCCUACGGGAGGCAGCAGUGGGGAAUAUUGCACAAUGGGCGGAAGCCUGAUGCAGCAACGCCGCGUGCGGGAUGACGGCCUUCGGGUUGUAAACCGUUUUCGCCUGUGACGAAGCGUGAGUGACGGUAAUGGGUAAAGAAGCACCGGCUAACUACGUG
RNAcentral lists this ribosomal RNA (468 nucleotides) under uncultured bacterium. RNAcentral's name for it is "partial 16S ribosomal RNA". It matches the Rfam family "Bacterial small subunit ribosomal RNA", at positions 28 to 507 of the family's 1533-position model. The record is from RNAcentral.